AUUGCCCUCCUGCUGCUGCUGAGGUGGACAAUAUGCAAGCUGAGCUACUCGUCGAGCUAAAGGAGUGGCUUCAUGAGAAAUGAAAUGAAAGAUGAUAUUAGGUGAAAUCCUGCAAAACAUAAUAUAGUUUAAAACAUAAUAUUAGGUUAAAUCUUGUAGCUCAUAGUCACACCAAGUUUUGCCUUUUUUGGUCUUCCUCGGC
This 202-nucleotide long non-coding RNA is filed under the name Musa acuminata (dwarf banana). Its description in RNAcentral is "long non-coding RNA (MACU_LNC000471)". Lineage: Eukaryota; Viridiplantae; Streptophyta; Magnoliopsida; Zingiberales; Musaceae. The record is from RNAcentral.